UGAGUUUUAAGUGAAAUCCAAUCUCUAAAACUAUGCAAUACACCAGCCACUCCAUUUCAGAACGAACUUCGUAUGAACCUGAAUUGUCCAAUUUCAUGGACCAAUCGAUAUCGAAUUGAGCCAAAAACUUGGGGAACAUUAUAAUGUGGCGGCUGGAGUCAUUUGGUAGGUUUAGAGUGAAAUCCAAUCCCUAGAACUAUGCAAUACACCAG
This 212-nucleotide long non-coding RNA is filed under the name Prunus persica (peach). Its description in RNAcentral is "long non-coding RNA (PPER_LNC002246)". The record is from RNAcentral. Lineage: Eukaryota; Viridiplantae; Streptophyta; Magnoliopsida; Rosales; Rosaceae.